CACAAACCGCCCAAAACUGCCACACCCACACUUUGAAAAAAUGUUUUGAUUCUUUUUUACAUAUUUGUUAUCUAUCUGAUAUAUGAUAUGUUUAUUUAGACUUGUGAAUUUCUCUCGCUUUGCCAAAAAAAUUUUUUACCAUCCCUACAACAUACAACUGCAGUAAGUCCACUAUCUUUGCCAGGUUCCUCAAUCAUAUUUGCGCAAAAAUUGUCAUUAGCCAUCUGGUCUUCAUCAGUCUCUUCUUCGUCACCUCAUUACCCUGCGGAAAGUCAGAGCUUUCGGAUGAAGUAUCAUAACUACACCAUCGACGGAUAGCGCAGAUGCAGCCGCUGCUGCGGAAGUUAAAGAACCAUCUGACUUUGCAGAGGGGUCCAUUACAGCUUUAUUAGUAGCUUCGGCAGCUAAUGCUGCAGCUCGGCGCCCGCGAAAAUAUGGAGAGUGCCUUUUAAAAAUUUCUCUGUGGUUUGAAUUCUUAAGAUCCAAAUAUCCUUGCGGCAGCCCGUUGUAUUUCUCUAGAACUUCAUUUAGAGGCAAUUUGCUUUCCUCUUGCAAUUCAGCUAAAUCUUCUUCUUCGUAAUCUUCCGCUUCUGCAUCGACGAAGUUAUGUUCUCCAACCAAUAUUUGAAGAAUAUUGACUACCGAUGGAUCAAGCAGUGUUUUGUCAAAUCCCAAAAAUUUUGGUGUCAAAAUUUAAAAUAAAGUUAUGUGCAUCCUGAAAUAUGACAAAA
This is a long non-coding RNA of Drosophila yakuba, 731 nucleotides long. RefSeq lists it as uncharacterized. The transcript has 2 exons. The record is from RefSeq and is a predicted model, not a curated record. NCBI's taxonomy places the organism in Eukaryota, Metazoa, Arthropoda, Insecta, Diptera, Drosophilidae.